Molecule: ribosomal RNA, 403 nt
Filed under: uncultured bacterium
Lineage: Bacteria
Description: partial 16S ribosomal RNA
Rfam family: Bacterial small subunit ribosomal RNA
Source: RNAcentral
GACGAACGCUGGCGGCGUGCCUAAUACAUGCAAGUCGAACGCAGUGGGGACGGGUGAGUAACAUGUGGGUAACCUCCCAUCAGAGGGGAUAACAUUUGGAAACAGGUGCUAAACUGAUACUGAGGGAUGGACUCGCGGUGCAUUAGCUAGUUGGUGAGGUAACGGCUCACCAAGGCCACGAUGAAUAGCCGGCCUGAGAGGGUGAUAGGACACACUGGGACUGAGACACGGCCCAGACUCCUACGGGAGGCAGCAGUAGGGAAUCUUCGGCAAUGGACGAAAGUCUGACCGAGCAACGCCGCGUGAGUGAAGAAGGUUUUCGGAUCGUAAAACUCGGUUGGUAGAGAAGCGGUAUCUAACCAGGAAGCCACGGCUAACUACGUGCCAGCAGCCGCGGUAAUUC